RNAcentral lists this ribosomal RNA (217 nucleotides) under uncultured bacterium. RNAcentral's name for it is "partial 16S ribosomal RNA". It matches the Rfam family "Bacterial small subunit ribosomal RNA", at positions 1285 to 1500 of the family's 1533-position model. The record is from RNAcentral.
AUCCCAGUUCGGAUCGCAGGCUGCAACCCGCCUGCGUGAAGUUGGAAUCGCUAGUAAUCGCGGAUCAGCAAGCCGCGGUGAAUACGUUCCCGGGCCUUGUACACACCGCCCGUCACACCAUGAGAGUCGGGAACACCCGAAGUCCGUAGUCUAACCGCAAGGGGGGGCGCGGCCGAUGGUGGGUCCGGUAAUUGGGGUGAAGUCGUAACAAGGUAGC